CGUGCCUCUGUGGGAGCUGAGACAGUAGAUUGCUUGGAGGGAUAGCAGAUCCAGUGGUGACCGGGGCCAGGAUAGGGAGGGCAGGGGCUAGGAAGGAGAAAAAGGAGCAUGCACGCAGUUGUUACUGCUGAACUGUCAUCUAAACAUGGUAAAGAGCGUAGAUUACAUAUGCAGAUUCUGCCCUAACAAGGACAAAAACUAUAAAUGGGGUGAAAGGCACUGACCACGGGCUCACUCUGGAAUUCUUCUGCCUUUCCAAGUAAAUCAGACCUAAAGGGGAUUUUGAAAUCCUGAAGCCCUCGCCAGGCACGAGCUACUCUGCAAGGUACAGCAUCCUUCAGGUCUCCAUCCUCUACAGCUCAGUGUGGAGUGAACCCAACCCAGCCACAGGAAACUCCCAUUCUAGCCCCACUCACCCCACAGGACACCCACAUCCCAGCCUCACUCACCCCACAGGACACCCACCUCCCACCCUCAUUCACCCCGCAGGACACCCAAAUGUCUCACCCCUCACUCACCCCACAGGACACCCACAUCCCACCCUCACUCACCCCACAGGACACCCACAUCCCACCCUCACUCACCCCCACAGGACACCCACAUCCCACCCUCACUCACCCCACAGGACACUGCAUCCCAGCCUCACUCACCUCACAGGACACCCCAUCACACCCUCACACACCCCACAGAACUCCCACAUCCCAGCCCUCACUCACCCCACACAGGACACCCCAUCCCACCUUCACCUCACCCCACAGGACACCCCAUCCCAGCCUCACUCACCCCACAGGACACCCCAUCCCACCUUCACUCACCCCACAGGACACCCCAUCCCACCCUCACUCACCCCACAGGACACCCACAUCCAGCCUCACUCACCUCACAGGACACCCCAUCACACCCUCACACACCCCACAGAACUCCCACAUCCCAGCCUCACUCACCCCAUAGGACACCCCAUCCCACCUCACUCACCCCACAGGACACCCCAUCCCACCCUCACUCACCCCACAGGACACCCACAUCCCACCCUCACUCACCCCACAGGACACUGCAUCCCAGCCUCACUCACCCCACAGGACACCCCAUCCCACCUUCACACACUCCAUAGGACACCCCAUCCCAAUCACCACCACCCCACAGGACACCCCAUCCAAUCAGCGCCUACCCCACAGGACACCCAUCCCACCCUCACACACCCCACAGGACACCCCAUCCCACCCUCGCUCACCCCACGGGACACCCCAUCACACCCUCACACACCCCACAGAAAUUCCCACAUUCCCAGCCUCACUCACCCCAUAGGACACCCCAUCCCAGCCUCACCUACCCCACAGGACACCCCUGUCCCAGCCCCACUCACCCUCCACAGUGCCCCCA
RNAcentral lists this long non-coding RNA (1380 nucleotides) under Papio anubis (olive baboon). RNAcentral's name for it is "lncRNA (ENSPANG00000038212.1)". The record is from RNAcentral. Lineage: Eukaryota; Metazoa; Chordata; Mammalia; Primates; Cercopithecidae.